This 1159-nucleotide long non-coding RNA is filed under the name Homo sapiens (human). RNAcentral's name for it is "long non-coding RNA NONHSAT204060.1". Lineage: Eukaryota; Metazoa; Chordata; Mammalia; Primates; Hominidae. The record is from RNAcentral.
CUUCCUUCCUACUCCCUCCCACACACCCAGGAGCUCCAGCCUGUUAUGGGAUGGGCAUCCUACCAGGAACCAAGGAUGCUAAGAUGUCCUCCAAAAUGGAUUGCCUCAUAUCUAGUACCCGCCUGCUGCAGGCUUCUUCAUCUAGUUCCUCUGGGGACACACUGUGCAGCUAAUUCAUCCAGGCAGAUUCACUGGGAAGCUGUUGCUCAUGAGGGUAUUUCUGAGACUUUUUUUUGUGACCUUGCUGUAUGACUGGUGUAAUGAAGAAUCUCCAGGUGGAGAAAUGAUCCUGAAUUAUCCAGUGGGCCCUACAUGUCACCACAUUGCGAUCCUUCUAAGUAGGAAGCAGAAGAUCUGACACAUGCAGGAGAGGGGAAGGCAAUGUGACCAUGGAGGCAGAGAGGGGAGUGAUGUGGCCACAAACCAAGGAUUGUUGGCAGCUGCCAGUGGCCGAAGGGGCAAUGAAUGGAUUCUCCUUUGGAGCCUCUGGAGGGAGAAUGGCCCUGCUAACACCUUGAUUUUGGCCCAGUGAUACUGAUUUUGGACUUCUGCCCUCUAGAACUGUGAGGGAAUACUUUUCUGUUGCUUUAAGCCAUUGAAUUUAUGAUGAUUUGUUACAGCACCCACAGGAAACAAAUGCAUGGAUCUAACUUGAACCUAGUGAGUUAGAUUACUUCAGGGAAACACAAUAAAUAGUUAACAGGGCUUGUCAGGGGGGUGGGAGUGAGAUGAAAGUGUGAAGCUGAAGACAACCAUCAAGGCAUUUUUUCCCAAAAAGCACAGAAGGAGAUUCAAUCAUCAAAUGAGAGGCCUCACUCACCUCUGCAUAUUGGCCCUUAUCCUUUGAAAGAGAAUAAAGUAACAGCUGCUAUUCUUUCAGCCAAGAAAGGGCCACUGGAACAGGUCCAGAAGGAAAGAAAAGAGUGAUGGCAACUGCUGAUUCAAGAAGAUUGUUCUGUUUCAGUUUUUAUUUUAUUUUAGAUGUACCCCUUCUCCACAAUGAGUUUCUCAUACACGCAUCUAAUGAAAGACGCCUGUUCUCAACCCUCCUAGAAUUUCAAGAUGGGCAAACUUACAAGGAAAGCAAGGAUGAGUGCUAAUAUGUACCAUAUUCAUGUGAAUAUAAGUUUUUUUAAUAAGAAAAUCAAACUCUAAAAAU